AUGUUACUACUCGCUAAGAAUGACCGCGGGUCAGGCCACAGGAUCCAGGGGAUACCCGGUAACAGAAGCUGUCAUAUUUAUCGCUGGCGUCUUCAGAGCCAGCUUUAGUAGCUGGAGACAGAGCACACAAAAGGACUAUUCAGCGCAGCCCAUGGUCUGAAAUGAAACAGAUGCGCUGUGGAAGUUUGCAAACUCCCCGGCACAGAAGGUUGGCAGAUCUGCGCUCCGUAACCAGGGCCCAUCUUCUUGGCAGAGCCCUCCGCACCCCGGUGCCAGCAGCACUGCUCCUGCUGUGCAGACGAAGGGCGGUCUGGAGGACAAAGCACUCAGCUUGGCAGUUAAAGGCAGGGAGAACUAAACCAAGGCUGAGAGCCCACUCGAGCUUUUAAGCCCUCCCACCGAUUUUGGAUGGUAAGCUGGUAUUUCAGGAAUUAGUACAACCAAAGGCACCUGGUCUGGUUUUACGGACUGGAACGCUCUUGGAAAGCAAUCAGAUACGAUUUGGACAAAAACAAUGGAGGCCCAGACACAGAGGCUGCCCUGGGAGAGUAUACCAGCUGUCUGCUCAGUUUCAAACCUCUAAUCAUGUUCUUGGAGAGAAAGCAAGGGGACCUGUUAGGGGUUGCUGAGCUCCGAGCUCAGGGCCAGGUCCAGGCAGUGGAGCCCACGAGAGGGAGUCCUCCCAGCACAGAGGCAGCCCCAGCGCCUUGGACUUGAAUUUCUGGCACCCGGACAGCAGUAAAUGAGACCAAGUUUCUGAAUAUUCACCACGGGCUGGGGACGAGGCAAGGGGAUUAAAAACAGUGGCAGAAGCAAAGAUGAAAUAGUGGAAAUGGGGAGAGCAGCAGGAUGAAGGCUGGCAGCACACGGAUGGGCAGAGCACCUGCUGGCAUGGCACGCAUUGCUCCCAGGGAACCCAGACUACUGGUACUGCCUCAAAGCAAAGCAAAGCCUUGACAGAGAUAUUCGAAGCCCUGCCAUGCCAUCCUCCAACUCUUUAAAAAAAUCUUUACCCCUGCUUGCAAACUACACAGGAGCAUUCAACAGCUGGCAGACUGCAAAGCCGCUCCUACGCAGAUCAUUCUAAGAGACCCUGCUUCUCUCCCCAUUGAUUUCCUUAGGCCAUGCUUCGUCUCGAUGCAGCGUGUGACAUCACAUGAAGAUAUCUCACUUUGCCUUCCGUUCACUCCAAUGAGAUGCAGGCAAUUACCUGAGCCCUUUGUUAGGAAUCUAAUUCUCUUGGGCCCUGCAGAAGAUCAGCAGUGUUUCCAAAGGCGAUUCAGCUCACCCCAUCGCCCUCUGUGCUACUAACAUGGGUACACCAAGCAUGAGGAGGGGUGAAGUCAUCCAGCUUUGUGCACACACGAUUCUGAUCUCUGUACAGGACCUCCUGUUGCUGCCACUAAGAUCCCAAAGCAGCAAGCCCCAUACAGAGCGCUGGCACCUUGCUCUACAGCAUGUUCAAUACCCUGCAGUGAUGCCCUGGAUCUGUCCCUUUUCUGCUGGGCCCUGGACCCUCCCUGUUAUCACCAGGAGAGACACGUGCUCUCAGAGCAAUAUUCGAUCUGCCAGGAGUCUGAGUUGCCUCCUGCACCAUAUUUCUCACCACUGACCCAAAAGUAUGCUUGGUGGAACAGGACUGUGAUCCAGGACAUGUAAUCUCGUGCUUCAUGUUACAGCAAAUCUACAACUAAGAGCUUGCACAUGCAGCGUGAGAGAAUGAGAACUGCUCUGGAGUACUUGCACUAUAAAAUGCUGCAUGCCUGAGAGGUUUUUGGACUCCAAGUAAGCCACAAAUAUGAAGUGUGAAUGGUUUACACUGGCACCUGGUCUUCUCAGCAGCUGAAUAUGCAUAAACUGUGUUGAAGUUAACCAAAGGAACGAUCAAAGCACCAGGAAGCUAUCAUAGAAGUGAGUCCUGCUUAUGGGAACUGUAAGAAACCAAACGCUGUGAGGAGUGUGAUUCAAAUCCUUACCACCAGACUAAGGCAUAACUUCCCCUGAAGCCACCGAAGACACAGGCUUGCACCAAUUGCAGAUCUGGUCCUGUUUGAAACGCUUUCAAAGAAACCAAAUUGCAUUCAGUUUCUUAGGAACUGCCCCAGAUCUCACAUUACCAGCAUCCAAAGACAGAAAUCAAAGCACAGCAUACUUCAAGGUAUGAAUCAGCAAAAGAACUCCUGGAUUUCUAAGAUGGAUUUGAUAAACUGCUGUUCCCUGCACUACUAUUAUUAUUUGUAUUUUUCAGAGAUCUCAUAGCAUUCUCAGUACUUUGCAAACAAUGUCAUAAUUCACAUCCUUUUCCACACAAAGUAUCCAUUGGGGUUAAUGCAAAAAACUAAAAGCCAUCCAAAAGAGCAGAAAAUCCAAAGCUGACUCAGUUUGUCUCAUUAUAAAGCACUUUCUAAGCAUCUUCUCAUCAACCAUUUCCUUACUAGAAAUCAUUUGACUCAAUACCAGUUUUAAAACCUUUUCAGUCUUACAGCUACGUAACUCCUUCCUGAAACAAGCCAACUUCAGUUGUAGCAUUUUUUAACACCUUUACAUUUGUAUGCAGGCCCAGUUUCAGCCCUCAGGAUGCUACUCACAGAACUCAGUCACGCCAGGGAAGGGGGUUACUGAUCACGGUGGUGAUUCUAUGACAUCUGCAAUGCACAGCACUGCUCUUGCCUUUGAAUACAACUCCAGCCUCGCCUCAGCGAUCCCUCCUUUGUGGUGGCAUUCCUUUCUCAUCCAGCUGCCAAAAGGAGAUCUGAAAUGAACAUCGUAAACAUUGAUUUUUUCCUGCUAAGCAUCCAAAACCAUAUCCGAGAUAAACAAACAAAGCAAAACACUUGGCCUGAACCAUAUUCUGGCUCCAAACUAAUCUGGAUAAGAAAUUUGUGGUUGAGAUCUGUCAUAUUAAAGCCAGUGAAGUAAAUCUAUCUCAGAUGUGUCCAUUUCUGUGAUUCCGGGGACCCAAAAUAUUGUGUGAGGUGAUUAACAUUCUUUGCCAUCAUUCUGGAUGUGACUCAUAGGUAGGUCUGCGCCACAGGGUCAGGGACACCCCAGUUGUGUCUGAGAGACCUAAUCCAGACCCAGAAACACCAAGCAGCAUGUAAGAAGAUGUAGGUUUUCCAUGGGCAGUCUAGUUUCUGGAAUCAGAGCAUCUCUGCGACCCUGUGCCAGAACUAGCUCUGGGAUCUAUUCCGCCCCAAGGACAUGCCCUUAGGCCUGGGGACAUCUCACUUACCUUCAGGAACCUGCCUGAAGCGCCUCAGGUGAGAGACAUCCCCAAGGCACUCAUGCAAUCAACAGCCAGAGGUACCUUUGGAGAUGCCAAUCUCUCAUAUUAGCUACAAUGCCUUAGGGCAGUUCAAGCCCAAUGAUCUAAGCCAGCAAGUGCCUCAGAUCCAGCUUUCCUUUGUGCUGUUAUCCUGGCAGUUUUUUGGCUUCUGCCCAAAAAUGGAGCACCUUGGGGAUCUCGCAUCACAGCCCAAGCUUUCCAAAUAGCAUUAUCUGCAAAGCCGUAAGGACAUGAGUGGAUCAUCAGUUCUCAUACAGAGCAUCUUUCCUUCCCAUCGAUUUUCCAUCACUGCUCUAACUUCCAGGAAACACAAAGGAUCUCCUGUGGCACGUGGGACUCGAUGGCAGGACUCUGCUAAAACCAAAGAUGCUGAGAGGCUGCAGAGCUCCAAACGUGCUGCACCUUGUACUCGCCGCUUCCACUGAGUUGAACUUUUCCCUAAAAAGAACUAAUUAACACUGGACAGCCCCACAGCAAUUCCUCAUCUGCUCUGGAGCAGAGUAGCCCAUCACUAUGGUGAUACAACAUUAAAGGGCUGGGUCCAAAAUGCUUUUCUGGCAGGAAGAUGCAUGCAUCAGGCCAAGAUUGGGGAUGCCAGGCGAGCUGCUUGUAACUCUGGAGGAGAUGCUCCAGGCUUACCCCAGUGUCACUGAGAUUAGCCCUGGCCCGUGGCCUUUGAGGACAGUUCCAUCCUGGCAGGCAGAUGGCUCGCCUUCUAAUUUGGAGGGGCUGAAUGACUUUCCAAACCUUUGAUUCCUGACUGAUGUAUUCACUUCAGGAGACACAAAAGUACAAAAUCUCAGCAUGGAGUGACUCCCGUGCUUUCUUUUUCCUUCCUUCCCACCCCCCCCGCGCCUUGUCUUUUCUUUUCUUCUCUCCCUGGACAGUUUUAUAAUUUUGGCUUGCAGCCAGAAUGUCUGUCCUUAUUAGCUUGGGCUGGCUGUGAAACACCUGCAGCCCAUUAGAGCGGGAGGAUGAAAAAAAGUCAACUGUCAUAGGUAAAGUAAUGACCACUUAUUUCUUUGUUUUAACAUACUAAAGGGACAUUCGAGAAGGGAAGGCAAAAAUGACAUAGCUUCCCCAUCAUGCCUGACACUGACUGGACUCAACUGAAGACACCGGGUCGUAUUUUUAUCUGAUAAGUGACUCUAAUAAACAGUAAUACCUUCA
This is a long non-coding RNA of Meleagris gallopavo (turkey), 4456 nucleotides long. RefSeq lists it as uncharacterized. NCBI's taxonomy places the organism in Eukaryota, Metazoa, Chordata, Aves, Galliformes, Phasianidae. The record is from RefSeq and is a predicted model, not a curated record.